This 90-nucleotide non-coding RNA is filed under the name Secundilactobacillus mixtipabuli. RNAcentral's name for it is "Lactobacillus mixtipabuli Bacterial large subunit ribosomal RNA". It matches the Rfam family "Bacterial large subunit ribosomal RNA", at positions 2835 to 2925 of the family's 2925-position model. The record is from Rfam by way of RNAcentral. Lineage: Bacteria; Bacillati; Bacillota; Bacilli; Lactobacillales; Lactobacillaceae.
CCCUGAGAGAUGAUCAGGUAGAUAGGCUAGAAGUGGAAGUGCAGCGAUGCACGGAGCGGACUAGUACUAAUCGGUCGAGGACUUAACCAC